This 450-nucleotide ribosomal RNA is filed under the name uncultured Glomeromycotina. Its description in RNAcentral is "SSU rRNA". It matches the Rfam family "Eukaryotic small subunit ribosomal RNA", at positions 569 to 1024 of the family's 1831-position model. The record is from RNAcentral. Lineage: Eukaryota; Fungi; Glomeromycota.
AGCAGCCGCGGUAAUUCCAGCUCCAAUAGCGUAUAUUAAAGUUGCUGCAGUUAAAAAGCUCGUAGUUGAAUUUCGGGACUAAUAUGUCGGUCGUGCCUCGGUACGUACUGGUAUUUUUGGUUUCUCCCUUCUGACGAACCUUGAUGUCAUUAAUUUGGUGUCUUGGGAAAUCAGGACUGUUACUUUGAAAAAAUUAGAGUGUUUAAAGCAGGCUUACGCUUGAAUACAUUAGCAUGGAAUAAUGAAAUAGGACGUUUGAUUCUAUUUUGUUGGUUUCUAGGAUUGACGUAAUGAUUAAUAGGGAUAGUUGGGGGCAUUAGUAUUCAAUUGUCAGAGGUGAAAUUCUUGGAUUUAUUGAAGACUAACUACUGCGAAAGCAUUUGCCAAGGAUGUUUUCAUUAAUCAAGAACGAAAGUUAGGGGAUCGAAGACGAUCAGAUACCGUCGUAGU